CCUACGGGAGGCAGCAGUGAGGAAUAUUGGGCAAUGGACGCAAGCCUGACCCAGCAAAGCAGCGUGCAGGAAGAAGGCUUUCGGGUUGGAAACUUCUUUUAUGAGGGACGAAAGAAGUGACGGUACCUCAUGAAUAAGCCACGGCUAACUACGUACCAGCAGCCGCGGUAAUACGCAGGUGGCGAGCGUUAUCCGGAUUUACUGGGUGUAAAGGGCGUGUAGGCGGGACUGCAAGUCAGAUGUGAACAUUAUGGGCUCAACCCAUAACCUGCAUUUGAAACUGGAGUUCUUGAGUGAUGGAGAGGCAGGCGGAAUUCCGUGUGUAGCGGUGAAAUGCGUAGAUAUACGGAGGAACACCAGUGGCGAAGGCGGCCUGCUGGACAUUAACUGACGCUGAGGCGCGAAAGCGUGGGGAGCAAACAGGAUUAGAUACCCCUGUAGUC
Molecule: ribosomal RNA, 443 nt
Filed under: uncultured bacterium
Lineage: Bacteria
Description: partial 16S ribosomal RNA
Rfam family: Bacterial small subunit ribosomal RNA
Source: RNAcentral